UGCUUGGUGGUCCAGUGUUUAGGACUCGGCGCUUUCACUGCCAUGGGCCCAGGUUCAAUCCCUGGUAGAUCUA
RNAcentral lists this transfer RNA (73 nucleotides) under Bos taurus (domestic cattle). It matches the Rfam family "tRNA". From Rfam's summary of the family: Transfer RNA (tRNA) molecules are approximately 80 nucleotides in length. Their secondary structure includes four short double-helical elements and three loops (D, anti-codon, and T loops). Further hydrogen bonds mediate the characteristic L-shaped molecular structure. tRNAs have two regions of fundamental functional importance: the anti-codon, which is responsible for specific mRNA codon recognition, and the 3' end, to which the tRNAs corresponding amino acid is attached (by aminoacyl-tRNA synthetases). tRNAs cope with the degeneracy of the genetic code in two manners: having more than one tRNA (with a specific anti-codon) for a particular amino acid; and 'wobble' base-pairing, i.e. permitting non-standard base-pairing at the 3rd anti-codon position. The record is from Rfam by way of RNAcentral. Lineage: Eukaryota; Metazoa; Chordata; Mammalia; Artiodactyla; Bovidae.